UGGAGGAAAGUAGGGGAUCGAAAGACCUUAUGCUUUUGGAGCGGCCGAUGUCUGAUUAGCUAGUUGGUAAGGUAAUGGCUUACCAAGGCGACGAUCAGUAGUUGGUCUGAGAGGACGACCAGCCACACUGGGACUGAGACACGGCCCAGACUCCUACGGGAGGCAGCAGUGGGGAAUUUUGGACAAUGGGCGCAAGCCUGAUCCAGCAAUGCCGCGUGAGUGAAGAAGGCCUUCGGGUUGUAAAGCUCUUUCAGUUGAAAAGAAAAAGCCGUGACUAAUAAUCAUGGUUCAUGACGGUAUCAACAGAAGAAGCACCGGCUAACUACGUGCCAGCAGCCGCGGUAAUACGUAGGGUGCAAGCGUUAAUCGGAAUUACUGGGCGUAAAGGGUGCGCAGGCGGUUCUGUAAGUCAGAUGUGAAAUCCCCGGGCUUAACCUGGGAACUGCGUUUGAAACUACAAAGCUAG
This 466-nucleotide ribosomal RNA is filed under the name uncultured bacterium. RNAcentral describes it as "bacterial SSU rRNA". It matches the Rfam family "Bacterial small subunit ribosomal RNA", at positions 197 to 644 of the family's 1533-position model. The record is from RNAcentral.